GACCACCCGCGCGCGGGUCAAGGCCAUACGGACAGCCGGGUCCACUGCCGA
Molecule: small RNA, 51 nt
Filed under: bovine gut metagenome
Description: Streptococcus sRNA SpF59 (ldcC RNA)
Rfam family: Streptococcus sRNA SpF59 (ldcC RNA)
Source: RNAcentral